Molecule: transfer RNA, 47 nt
Filed under: Craspedostauros australis
Lineage: Eukaryota; Bacillariophyta; Bacillariophyceae; Mastogloiales; Achnanthaceae
Description: partial tRNA
Source: RNAcentral
UGGCAUGCCGCGAUCCCGAAAGCGCCCGCGAUACCAUGCUGGAGGUC